UCUUUCCCCCCUUUCAUACAAUAUAUAAUUCCAAGCCCUCACUGUUCACAAAGUUUCCAAGAACUGUAUUUAGACAAAAUGUAAACUGGCAUAUUUUCCAUUCACUUCAUGGAAAUAUUCCGAACCACUCUUGCAAGCAGCUGAAGAUGUGCUUUUAUCUUGCCAUGAAGUCAUAAAGUUUAAUUUGCAACAUCACAGUUGCUUCUAUGGCAACAGAUGGUGACAUCAAACACAGGAUCAUGACUUCACUAUAGGAUCAAGAAGGAUUAGCUUUGCACCGAGGAACUAGAGCCUACCCUGGGUGGGACAGCAUGUGCAAUCAAAUAAUCAGCUUCCCCUGAGGAAAAAUAUGGAGAUGGAUCUCUCCAGGACACAGCUGAGUCUGAUGGCAGGAUAUGGAAAUCCACAUUCUGCAGCUGUUGCAAGGACUCUUGCAGGCCCAGCCCUCAGCACGUUGA
This is a long non-coding RNA of Corapipo altera (White-ruffed manakin), 458 nucleotides long. RefSeq lists it as uncharacterized. The record is from RefSeq and is a predicted model, not a curated record. The transcript has 3 exons. Lineage: Eukaryota; Metazoa; Chordata; Aves; Passeriformes; Pipridae.